Molecule: long non-coding RNA, 275 nt
Organism: Artibeus jamaicensis (Jamaican fruit-eating bat)
Lineage: Eukaryota; Metazoa; Chordata; Mammalia; Chiroptera; Phyllostomidae
Exons: 3
Source: RefSeq, a predicted model, not a curated record
AAGUGAGCAGCAGUGUUGACCCAAGGACACGGAAGCUUCUACUCAGGGCAAAACCACGUGAGAGAGUGUGACUAACCACGAGUCGUGACGAAUAAGGAAUACACGUCAGGCCUCUUCCCUGGUCCCUGGCACAGAGCCCCCUACCGGCGGCGUCCACCACCUGCAGCCCAACACAAAAUUACCCUGUGAUCACAGCACCACGGACUGAAGCCCUUGAAUCCCUAACCCCCAACCCGGCAUGUGGAGCAUGGAGCAAGGAUGUACGUGGGUUUGCU